UACGUAGGGUGCGAGCGUUGUCCGGAAUUAUUGGGCGUAAAGGGCUCGUAGGCGGUUUGUCACGUCGGGAGUGAAAACUCGGGGCUUAACCCCGAGCCUGCUUCCGAUACGGGCUGACUAGAGGUAUGCAGGGGAGAACGGAAUUCCUGGUGUAGCGGUGAAAUGCGCAGAUAUCAGGAGGAACACCGGUGGCGAAGGCGGGUCUCUGGGCCGAUACUGACGCUGAGGAGCGAAAGCGUGGGGAGCGAACAGG
Molecule: ribosomal RNA, 253 nt
Filed under: uncultured bacterium
Lineage: Bacteria
Description: partial 16S ribosomal RNA
Rfam family: Bacterial small subunit ribosomal RNA
Source: RNAcentral